GGAAAUAUUAACUAUUUAAGCAGCAUUGGAAAUGCUGUGUACGAUUUAUCGUACCGAGGGUUCGAAUCCCUCUCUCUCCG
This 80-nucleotide transfer RNA is filed under the name Phycisphaeraceae bacterium. RNAcentral's name for it is "tRNA-Ser". It matches the Rfam family "tRNA". Rfam says of the family: Transfer RNA (tRNA) molecules are approximately 80 nucleotides in length. Lineage: Bacteria; Pseudomonadati; Planctomycetota; Phycisphaerae; Phycisphaerales; Phycisphaeraceae. The record is from RNAcentral.